CAUAAUAUAAAAUCAUAUUUAAAAAAUAUUUCUUUCCUCAAAAUCAAAGGCAUCUUAAAAAAAAUUCAUGCAGAUCUGGAAGAAUUAAUGUGUAAUAUACUAGAUCUAAAACAAAUAAGUUUCGGACAGUUCAUACUGGAUCGAAGAAGAAAACCUGUAAAAAUUAAUUCAUGCUUCUAUAUAAAGUUUUAACAAAGAACCCAAUAUCGAUUUGUUCAUAAAAUCAUAAAAAACCUCAAUUUGCGUAACC
This 250-nucleotide long non-coding RNA is filed under the name Erythranthe guttata (spotted monkey flower). RNAcentral's name for it is "long non-coding RNA (EGUT_LNC002672)". The record is from RNAcentral. Lineage: Eukaryota; Viridiplantae; Streptophyta; Magnoliopsida; Lamiales; Phrymaceae.